Molecule: ribosomal RNA, 253 nt
Filed under: uncultured bacterium
Lineage: Bacteria
Description: partial 16S ribosomal RNA
Rfam family: Bacterial small subunit ribosomal RNA
Source: RNAcentral
UACGGGGGGGGCAAGCGUUGUUCGGAAUUACUGGGCGUAAAGGGCUCGUAGGCGGCCAACUAAGUCAUACGUGAAAUCCCUCGGCUUAACCGGGGAACUGCGUCUGAUACUGGAUGGCUUGAGUUCGGGAGAGGGAUGCGGAAUUCCAGGUGUAGCGGUGAAAUGCGUAGAUAUCUGGAGGAACACCGGUGGCGAAGGCGGCUAUCUGGACGGUGACUGACGCUGAGACGCGAAAGCGUGGGGAGCAAACAGG